UGGGAAAACAGAAGAGCAGAUCCUCAGGU
Molecule: non-coding RNA, 29 nt
Filed under: Mus musculus (house mouse)
Lineage: Eukaryota; Metazoa; Chordata; Mammalia; Rodentia; Muridae
Source: RNAcentral